Triticum dicoccoides is the source of this 1128-nucleotide long non-coding RNA. RefSeq lists it as uncharacterized. The transcript has 3 exons. The record is from RefSeq and is a predicted model, not a curated record. Lineage: Eukaryota; Viridiplantae; Streptophyta; Magnoliopsida; Poales; Poaceae.
AAUCUAAAUUACCUCAAAGGCUAUCUCUACUUCUAAUGGAUGAGUUGGUUGAAUAGUAUCCAUGAUUUAUUUUUGUCUGGUUUAUUUUUAUCUCACAUCCCACCAUCAUAUCUCCUGACGUUGGUUUUUUACCCUCACAAUAAAAAAUUUCAUGACCUUUCAAAAUUUUCCUAACUAGACACGUUACAAACGGGCAGGAGCCGAUAGCACAUUACCAAUCAAUAAUAUUCAGUUUUAUGGCAAUCAGUUUCAAAUCCUAACUUUCCUAAUACAUCAACUUUGCCUUUUCUAAGAAGCAAUCUUUUUUAUUUCUUCUGAAAAUAAAGGAGGAGUAUGCGGCACGUUUCGUAGUUGUUUCGUUCGUCUUCGCCCUCGUUUCGUACGUCCCCUCCUCCACCUCGAUUUCUUUUCUGCCUCUUCAGCCUUCUCCCCGCAACCCUAUCUCUUAGGCCUCAUUUGGCGCGAGUGGGUUGAGGGGGUUUCGAGAGGAUUUUCCUCGCGUGGGCCAGAAACCCCGAGAAACCACGUUGGCCCAUUUGGUACAGGGGGUUUGUAUGCGCUAAUCCUCUCUAAUCCACGCCAAACCACGCGAAACCACGCGGCUCGAAACCCUCGUCGAGCGACUCAGGGAGUCGCUCGUCCCAUCGCACGCCGCCAGCGAGAGGAAGAGACGUCGCCGCCGCUACCACCGAGGGGAAGAGCCCCGCCGCCGCCACCGAGGGGAAGAGCCCCGCCGACGAGAGGAGGAGCCCCACGCCGCCGCCCGACUCUGCCCGACACCGGCGUUACUCCUCCAGCAUACUGGCCUUAUCCCCGGUGCCUGCCGCUUCGAUUAUUGUGGGGGUGGACGAAUUACCUCCGUCUUGGGAUUCAGUUGUCACGCCUAACUUCGGGACCUGAUCUCGCGGAAGACGGGUGACCACUUUGCUGCCACAAGUCUCCUUCACACCGUGUAGCCCGCAAAAAUGUCUCGGAGCAUUUGCCGAUCAUAUUUAUGUUGUAAUGAACCGUUAACUUUCGUUGAUUGAACAUCUUGUAUUUUUCAUUUGGACCGUGGCAUGUAUGCAUGUAACAUUUCAUUUGAACAGUUGAUAGUACAUGCAACAGAUUAUACAAGCCUUUUUGUUA